AGAACUUAGCAGAGAUGCUUUGGUGCCUUCGGGAACUCUGAGACAGGUGCUGCAUGGCUGUCGUCAGCUCGUGUUGUGAAAUGUUGGGUUAAGUCCCGCAACGAGCGCAACCCUUAUCCUUUGUUGCCAGCGGUUAGGCCGGGAACUCAAAGGAGACUGCCAGUGAUAACUGGAGGAAGGUGGGGAUGACGUCAAGUCAUCAUGGCCCUUACGAGUAGGGCUACACACGUGCUACAAUGGCGCAUACAAAGAGAAGCGACCUCGCGAGAGCAAGCGGACCUCAUAAAGUGCGUCGUAGUCCGGAUUGGAGUCUGCAACUCGACUCCAUGAAGUCGGAAUCGCUAGUAAUCGUAGAUCAGAAUGCUACGGUGAAUACGUUCCCGGGCCUUGUACACACCGCCCGUCACACCAUGGGAGUGGGUUGCAAAAGAAGUAGGUAGCUUAACCUUCGGGAGGGCGCUUACCACUUUGUGAUUCAUGACUGGGGUGAAGUCGUAACAAGGUAAGCGUAGUGCU
This 516-nucleotide ribosomal RNA is filed under the name uncultured bacterium. Its description in RNAcentral is "bacterial SSU rRNA". It matches the Rfam family "Bacterial small subunit ribosomal RNA", at positions 992 to 1509 of the family's 1533-position model. The record is from RNAcentral.